AGCGUACACGGUGGAUGCCCUGGCAGUCAGAGGCGAUGAAGGACGUGCUAAUCUGCGAAAAGCGCCGGCGAGGUGAUAUGAACCUUUGACCCGGCGAUGUCCGAAUGGGGAAACCCAGUGCAAUCCGUUGCACUAUCGUUAACUGAAUACAUAGGUUAACGAGGCGAACCGGGGGAACUGAAACAUCUAAGUACCCCGAGGAAAAGAAAUCAACCGAGAUUCCCCCAGUAGCGGCGAGCGAACGGGGAGCAGCCCGGAGUCUGAAUCAGCUUGUGUGUUAGUGGAACGGUCUGGAAAGUCCGACGGUACAGGGUGAUAGUCCCGUACACGAAAGCACACUUGCUGUGAACUCGAAGAGUAGGGCGGGACACGUGGUAUCCUGUCUGAAUAUGGGGGGACCAUCCUCCAAGGCUAAAUACUCCUGACUGACCGAUAGUGAACCAGUACCGUGAGGGAAAGGCGAAAAGAACCCCGGCGAGGGGAGUGAAAAAGAACCUGAAACCGUGUACGUACAAGCAGUGGGAGCCUCUUUAUGGGGUGACUGCGUACCUUUUGUAUAAUGGGUCAGCGACUUAUAUUCUGUAGCAAGGUUAACCGUAUAGGGGAGCCGAAGGGAAACCGAGUCUUAACUGGGCGUUAAGUUGCAGGGUAUAGACCCGAAACCCGGUGAUCUAGCCAUGGGCAGGUUGAAGGUUGGGUAACACUAACUGGAGGACCGAACCGACUAAUGUUGAAAAAUUAGCGGAUGACCUGUGGCUGGGGGUGAAAGGCCAAUCAAACCGGGAGAUAGCUGGUUCUCCCCGAAAGCUAUUUAGGUAGCGCCUCGUGAACUCAUCUUCGGGGGUAGAGCACUGUUUCGGCUAGGGGGCCAUCCCGGCUUACCAACCCGAUGCAAACUACGAAUACCGAAGAAUGUUAUCACGGGAGACACACGGCGGGUGCUAACGUCCGUCGUGAAGAGGGAAACAACCCAGACCGCCAGCUAAGGUCCCAAAGUCAUGGUUAAGUGGGAAACGAUGUGGGAAGGCACAGACAGCCAGGAUGUUGGCUUAGAAGCAGCCAUCAUUUAAAGAAAGCGUAAUAGCUCACUGGUCGAGUCGGCCUGCGCGGAAGAUGUAACGGGGCUAAACCAUGCACCGAAGCUGCGGCAGCGACGCUUAUGCGUUGUUGGGUAGGGGAGCGUUCUGUAAGCCGUUGAAGGUGUNNNNNNNNNNNNNNNNNNNNNNNNNNNNNNNNNNNNNNNNNNNNNUUAACGCUGAGGUGUGAUGACGAGGCACUACGGUGCUGAAGUGAUAAAUGCCCUGCUUCCAGGAAAAGCCUCUAAGCAUCAGGUAACACGAAAUCGUACCCCAAACCGACACAGGUGGUCAGGUAGAGAAUACCAAGGCGCUUGAGAGAACUCGGGUGAAGGAACUAGGCAAAAUGGUGCCGUAACUUCGGGAGAAGGCACGCUGAUAUGUAGGUGAAGUCCCUGCGGACGGAGCUGAAAUCAGUCGAAGAUACCAGCUGGCUGCAACUGUUUAUUAAAAACACAGCACUGUGCAAACACGAAAGUGGACGUAUACGGUGUGACGCCUGCCCGGUGCCGGAAGGUUAAUUGAUGGGGUUAGCGGCAACGCGAAGCUCUUGAUCGAAGCCCCGGUAAACGGCGGCCGUAACUAUAACGGUCCUAAGGUAGCGAAAUUCCUUGUCGGGUAAGUUCCGACCUGCACGAAUGGCGUAAUGAUGGCCAGGCUGUCUCCACCCGAGACUCAGUGAAAUUGAACUCGCUGUGAAGAUGCAGUGUACCCGCGGCAAGACGGAAAGACCCCGUGAACCUUUACUAUAGCUUGACACUGAACACUGGUCCUUGAUGUGUAGGAUAGGUGGGAGGCUUUGAAGCGUGGACGCCAGUCUGCGUGGAGCCAACCUUGAAAUACCACCCUUUAAUGGCUGGUGUUCUAACGUAGACCCGUAAUCCGGGUUGCGGACAGUGUCUGGUGGGUAGUUUGACUGGGGCGGUCUCCUCCCAAAGAGUAACGGAGGAGCACGAAGGUUGGCUAAUCCUGGUCGGACAUCAGGAGGUUAGUGCAAUGGCAUAAGCCAGCUUGACUGCGAGCGUGACGGCGCGAGCAGGUGCGAAAGCAGGUCAUAGUGAUCCGGUGGUUCUGAAUGGAAGGGCCAUCGCUCAACGGAUAAAAGGUACUCCGGGGAUAACAGGCUGAUACCGCCCAAGAGUUCAUAUCGACGGCGGUGUUUGGCACCUCGAUGUCGGCUCAUCACAUCCUGGGGCUGAAGUAGGUCCCAAGGGUAUGGCUGUUCGCCAUUUAAAGUGGUACGCGAGCUGGGUUUAGAACGUCGUGAGACAGUUCGGUCCCUAUCUGCCGUGGGCGCUGGAGAAUUGAGGGGGGCUGCUCCUAGUACGAGAGGACCGGAGUGGACGCAUCACUGGUGUUCGGGUUGUCAUGCCAAUGGCACUGCCCGGUAGCUAAAUGCGGAAGAGAUAAGUGCUGAAAGCAUCUAAGCACGAAACUUGCCCCGAGAUGAGUUCU
RNAcentral lists this ribosomal RNA (2531 nucleotides) under Enterobacter hormaechei. RNAcentral describes it as "bacterial LSU rRNA". It matches the Rfam family "Bacterial large subunit ribosomal RNA". The record is from RNAcentral. Lineage: Bacteria; Pseudomonadati; Pseudomonadota; Gammaproteobacteria; Enterobacterales; Enterobacteriaceae.